AACCGCCGAGGCCCCCGCCGCCCUUCUGGACUUUUAUCGAGGCAUGUACACUAAUACGAAAGAGAAUUUGCCAUUUACCUGUAAGAUUGAGGGUGACAACGUAAGAGGAAUGGUUUUAAGUGACGCGUCCGGCUCCUUACUCCCACUGAAGGGUGAAGGUGCCACAGGUGGACCUGGUUUGGAUUCUGAUGUGAAGAAACCGACUUCAAAACAUUUGGGCCAAUCAGGAAAAUGCGAAAACUCUGACUACAAAUUUAAUGAUAUCUAGAAUUAUUGUUAAUAGUUUAAGAUGGAGUCUUGCCCUGUCACCCAGGCUAGAGUGCAGUGGUGCAAUCUCGGCUCACUACAGCCUCCACCUCCAGGGUUCAAGCAAUUCUCAUGCCUCAGCCUCCCAAGUAGCUGGGAUUACAGGUAUGUGCCAUCACACCUGGCUAAUUUUUGUAUUUUUAGUGGAGACAGGGUUUU
RNAcentral lists this long non-coding RNA (465 nucleotides) under Homo sapiens (human). RNAcentral describes it as "HSALNT0301157". The record is from RNAcentral. Lineage: Eukaryota; Metazoa; Chordata; Mammalia; Primates; Hominidae.